AUACGGAGGAUGCGAGCGUUAUCCGGAUUUAUUGGGUUUAAAGGGCGCGCAGGCGGGCGAUUAAGUCAGCGGUGAAAGGCUCGGGCUCAACCGGAGCAGUGCCGUUGAUACUGGUUGUCUCGAAUGCGGUCACGGCCGGCGGAAUGUGGCGUGUAGCGGUGAAAUGCAUAGAUAUGCCACAGAACACUGAUAGCGAAGGCAGCUGGCCGGGCCUGCAUUGACGCUGAGGCACGAAAGCGUGGGGAUCGAACAGGAUUAGAUACCCUGGUAGUCCACGCUGUAAACGAUGGACACUCGUUGUCGGCGACAGACAGUCGGCGGCCAAGCGAAAGUGAUAAGUGUCCCACCUGGGGAGUACGAUCGCAAGGCUGAAACUCAAAUGAAUUGACGGGG
RNAcentral lists this ribosomal RNA (393 nucleotides) under uncultured bacterium. Its description in RNAcentral is "partial 16S ribosomal RNA". It matches the Rfam family "Bacterial small subunit ribosomal RNA", at positions 523 to 918 of the family's 1533-position model. The record is from RNAcentral.